AUCUGGCUGAUGAGUCCCAAAUAGGAUGGAACGCACGUCCUGGAU
This 45-nucleotide non-coding RNA is filed under the name Schistosoma mansoni. Lineage: Eukaryota; Metazoa; Platyhelminthes; Trematoda; Strigeidida; Schistosomatidae. The record is from RNAcentral.